AUGACAAGAAAGACAAAAUUGUUGUAUUGAUGCAAUGGUCACAGAAUCUACUUUGCAUAUUUUCUUCCAGGACAUUUCAUUGGUGAAAUGACCCUUGUACUCUCUCUCUCUCUCUCUCUCUCUCUCUAAAUCACUGGAACAACAGUGUAAUUACAAUCGUAUCACAACCAAUCAAACAUAUACUUCUCUGUAAAAACUUGGACCACAAGAAAUCAACAUAUCAUGUACAAUUUGGUAUUAGAACAAAUAGCAUCACCACCAGAGGCUUGAGUCCCAGCGUGGGACUACUCAGUAGGACAAUCAGCAAGAAUUUAGAAGAGUCCCCGCACAGGACUAUACGACAGCGUACUUUUGAAAGCCAUUUAGCCACUACCAGUUCAUCCGUUGACUUGAAGCGCCAUCUUCUAUCCGAUGAGCAGAGCACGCGCCGAUGGUUAGCCUCUCUUUCCUCGAGGUUUCUUGACAGUCUUCAUUUUUGUGGGAGCAAGGAAAUCAUCGUCCUCUAGGUCACUGAAAGAUAUGUCUUCUUCAUUGAUUGCGUGAAUAGCCGUUACACUAUACCCAUCUAAUUCAGAAUCUUCCUCUGGCCAGUCAUCAUCGUCAUCAUCUUCGUAGAUAUUAUCUAGCAUCUUCGAGGAUGGACCAACUGUUAGAUUCUUGUCCUCGCUCUUAAUGAUGGGCUUUUCUUCAAUAACAGACUUGUCAAUAAAUGGGACUUCAUCACUCUCAACUGGGUGCUUCUCAGUCUCAUAAGCCGUGGGGGACAUCGUUGAUUCAUAAGGAUACGUCCUUAGCAUCUUGUCCUCGUAAUAAACACUACAUGAUGAGACCGGAGCACAAUCGUCAUCUAGUAUAUUGGAACUGUCUUUUAAAAAAGAAGUGUUUCUUCCAAAUUGAUCAUGUUCCAAUGCAGUCUGACAAUGUAGCUCCUGCAUCCACUUUGCUCUGGCUUCCAUUAUCUGCGACCAAUAUGUUAUACUACAUUAAAUUUCAGAGACCUAACAGGUUUGGCAUGAACUUAGGCUCAAUCACAAAGUAUAGAUAAUGUUUUAAUCUAAGAAAAUAUUGUCAUUUUUCUGGAACCAUCUAGAAUUCCUAAAUCCAAACUUUAUUCCCAACCGGGAAGAUCACCUGCAACCUAAAUAUAAAAGAACGGAGCUUCGCUGCUGAAAAAUUAGCAGCAGCUCCUGCUGCUAGCGAAUCACGGGUGGACAUGUGUAUUAAUUUGGAAUUGAAGAAUACUUCUAUUUCUUAUUUCUGUACAAAUGAAAACAGCUAUUAUAUAUACAUACAAUGAUAGCACGCAUGCAAUAAUUAAAUAUAAAAACCAAUGGGCAUCCUUGCUGCCCAUGAUGUAACUGACACGCCCAUGAUGUGUAUCCACCAUGUGCAAACCUUUGCUGACAAGGAUUUUGGUAUCCACAUGCAACUGUCCAAACUAUCCAGAAUGUGCAUCCACAUGCUACAUUCCUGCUGUCCACUUUGUACAGAUUGGGUGAUUUCUUUUCCUUUAACAAUCCCCCUCAAGUUGGAGCGUGAAUGUCAAUGACGCCCAACUUGCCUAGAUGUGUAUGAAAAAUAGGAGCGCGAAGUGGCUUGGUAAACAAGUCUGCGACUUGUUCUCCUGUUCUGACAUAAGAAGUUUUAAUUUCUCCCUUUUCGAUCCUCUCACGAACAGUGUGGCAAUCGAUCUCAAUAUGCUUUGUGCGUUCGUGAUACACAGGGUUUGCAGCUAUGUGUAAAGCCGCUUGGUUGUCACAAAAUAACCUUGCCGGUUGGGGAUGCUCAACACGUAAAUCUACCAAUAAAUAUCGCAACCAACUCAAUUCACAAGUAGCUGCAGCCAUAGAUCGAUACUCCGCUUCAGCUGAGGAACGGGCUACUGUAACUUGCUUCUUGCUUUUCCAGGACACCAGUGACUUUCCAAGGAAGAUACAAUAACCAGUAACUGAUCGACGGGUAAUGGGGCAACGUGCCCAAUCUGCAUCACAGUAACCAAUUAAAUUCAAUUCACUUUGGGAAGAGAACAUCAAGCCUUGUCCAGGGGCUCAUUUGAGGUAUCGAAGAAGUUGAUACACUGCAUCAAGAUGAUGUCGUUGUGGAUCUUGCAUGAACUAACUUAACGUGUUGAUAGUGUAUGCUAUCUCUGGUCUUGUGAUGGUUAAAUAAAUUAAUUUUCCAACCAAGCGCCUAUACCUCGCAGGUUCAUGUAGUGAAGUGCUACCUGCGGGAAUUAGGACCAAAUCGGCCUCCAUUGGGACCUUCGUGGGUUUGGCGCCAAGAAGGCCAGCCUCCUCCAAUAUGUCCAAUGUAUAUUUUUGUUGACAGAUUGUGACUCCAGCUUUCGAUCGUGCGACCUCAACUCCAAGGAAAUAUUUCAGAGGUCCAAGAUCUUUAAUUCGAAAUUGACUGCUAAGGAAGGCCUUUAGGUUCUUGAUUUCUGCCUCAUUGUUGCCUGUAAUCACCAUGUCGUCAACGUAUAAUAAUACAAUAGUGAAUGAAGUACCUUUGACUUGAGUGAACAGAGAAUAAUCUGCCUUGGAUUGGCAGAAACCAAUGGUACAUAUUGCUUUAGAGAAUUCUCGAAACCAACUUCUAGAUGCUUGUUUAAGACCAUACAGAGAUUUGUGGAGUCGACAUACGACAUUCUCCCCCUGUCGACGACAACCCGGAGGCGGCAACAUGUACACUGCCUCAUGAAGUUCGCCAUGCAAAAAAGCAUUUUGGACAUCCAUUUGAUGUAAGGGCCAAUUGCGAACAGCAGCCACAGUCAAGAAGCAACGCACAGUGAUGAGUUUGGCUACUGGUGCAAAAGUCUCCUUGUAGUCGAUACCUUCACGUUGGGUGAAACCUUUGGCAACGAGACGUGCUUUGUAGCGUUCAAGAGUGCCAUCAGAUUGGUACUUUAGUUUGAAAACCCAUUUGCAGCCGAUGGGUUUUUGGCCGGGCAGAAGAGGAACAAAAUUCCAGGUAUUAUUUUCUUCUAAAGCUGUGAGUUCUGCAUGCAUCGCUGCAACCCAGUGGGGAUUUUGGCAAGCCUGCUCGUAGGUAUUUGGCUCCACCAAGUGUGAAAUAUGAGAAACAAAGCGUUGAUACCCAAGAGAUAAGCAGGAAUAGGAAACAUACCGAUGCAGUGGGUAGCGCGUGCUGGACAUGGACUGAGAGAGGCCUCUGAGGACGUGAGCAAGGUGGAGUGAUGAGCCACAUAAUCUUUGAAGUGAGCAGGUGGUUUGGUGGGACGGGUGGAGUGACGGAGUGAGAUUGGGUGAGGAGUUGGUGGUGCAGGUGGCGGAGAAGAGGAAGAACAGGUAGUGAUAGGUUCUUGUGGCAUGUCGAUGGUGGCAGGUACCAUUGGAAGGCUUGAGGGAGGUGUCAUGGUGGCAGAUUCAUGUGGGGUAUUGAUGAUGGUAGGUGCUAUGGUGUCAAUAGUGACAGGUUCAUAUGGUGAAUCAAGCACCGUUUGAAGUAGGCUUGGUGAGGAGUCGAUGUCUUGUGUUGGAUGAAUAAUGGGAGCAACAUGUGAGUCGGUUUGGUCUAUAGGUGAUGAAGAUGUGUAAGGGAAGAUGUGCUCAUGGAAGAUUACAUCUCGUGAGGUAAAAAAUUUUCGUGUGGCUAGAUCAUAUACCUUAUAACCCUUUUGGCCAAGAGGAUAACCAAGGAAAACACAACGACGAGCAUGGACAUCAAACUUAUGGGUGGGUGUCAUAUUGGUGACAUAGCUGAGGCAUCCAAAAACACGUAGAUGGGUAUAAGUUGGUGGUGGGUUAUGCAAAAGUUCGUAUGGUGACUUAUGGGAGAGCAAGGGUGUAGGUAGACGAUUGAUGAGAUAACAAGUAGUCUGAAUACUUUCUCCCCAAAAUUGUAAAGGUAAGUUGGCUUGAAACCGAAGAGCACGACCAACAUUCAGAAGGUGCCUAUGUUUACGUUCGACCACCCCGUUUUGUUGUGGUGUGUAAGGGCAAGAGUGUUGAAAAAAUGUGCCACAUGAUUCUAGGUAGGAACGUAUGGAAAGGAACUCACUACCAUUAUCCGCACAGAGAGCUUUAAUGCCAUGUUGAAAUUGUGUUUUGACCCAAGAGAAAAAGGAUUUCAAUAUUGUUUGUGUGUCGGAUUUGAAAUUCAUAAGAUGUACCCAAGUAAAACGAGUGAAAUCAUCCACAAUAGUAAGAAAAUAUCGUGCCCCAAUGUGUGUUUGAUUUCUGUGAGGCCCCCAAAUGUCACAAUGAAUCAGGUCAAAUGGUGCGAAAGAUUUGAUUUCACUGUUAUGAAAUGGUAGACGGGUUUGCUUUGCUAAAGGGCAAACUUCACAAAUGUGUGUGGAAUCAAAAAUUAUUUCAGCAUGAUUUUUUGCUAAUGAAAGUAAAGGUGCGGCCGAUGGGUGUCCAAGACGCUGAUGCCAUAGACUAGUGGUAAGAUGGAUGUGGUGGACAAGGUAAGGGUUUUGUCUUGGUGUAAGAUAGUAGAGCCCAUCAAAAUGCUUGCCCAGGCCAAUCACCCUCUUCGUGUCCAUGUCCUGCACAACACAAAAAUUGGGAUAGAACGUCACUUUACAAUACAAAGCUCUUGUCAAUUUACUAACAAACAAUAAAUUAACACGAAACUUUGGUACAUGAAGAACUUUAUCAAGAGAGAGAUCUUGUGACAAUCUCAUGGAACCAAUAUGUUUGAUUUCUGCUUGCUCCCCAUUUGGUAAGGCAACGUACUCAUGAUGAGCAUCAAUGAUGCUAUGUGUUGGUGACGAAUGCGAUAUAUGGUCGGUUGCUCCGCUAUCAACAAUCCAAUAUAUACUCGAGGGUGGAUCUGUUUGUGCUAUGUUGCAUUUAGGUGAGAAAAUACCUGUUGCAUUUGCAAGUGGUUGAUCUUUACCGUUCUUAUUGUAAAGGAGAGCCAUGAGUUGACUGUAUUCCUUGGUUGUGAAUGUUGGAUUGUUGGCAGUUUGCGAUUGAGGUGCUCGCUGACCAUAGCCUUCUGGAGUGCUAGGUGACUGAGCAGUUUGUCCAUAAACUGCAGGAUUUGCAAGAGUCUGUCGUGCUGGAGGUGCUCCAUAUUCAGUGCCAUAUGCGGGCUGAGCCGAUGGUUGGCUUCCAUAACCAGUUUGAGCAGUUGGCUGCCCAGUUUUCUUGUUGUUCAUGAUGGAUGUAAUUUCUUGAUAUUGGGUAUUAGAAAGUGAUCUACGCCAAGUAGAAUGAUUAUCUCCAUCGGAGACGAGAACGUGAAUAGAAAAAUGGAUUGGAUGCUUUUGGCUUGUAUCCAUCUUGUAAAGCUGAUUUGGUUGCUGCCUGCUUCCUCCUUUAUUUUCUGCUUCGGUGGCACUGGUUUGAGUGAAGCUGAGUCGGCGGAGCAGUGACGUAAUGAAUGCUUAGCAGGUAAUGCAGCGACGAUGGCUGUGUAGUAGCUGUGCGACAGCAAGGCAGCGAGUGUGCAGCUUGCAGUGCAAUGGUUGUGCAGUAGCAGGUGUCCCUGUGCAUAGUAUAGUAGCAGAAGAGUGAAGGCAGAGCAGAGCAAAGGAUUAAUCCUGCUCUGAUACCAUAUUAAUUUGGAAUUGAAGAAUACUUCUAUUUCUUAUUUCUGUACAAAUGAAAACAGCUAUUAUAUAUACAUACAAUGAUAGCACGCAUGCAAUAAUUAAAUAUAAAAACCAAUGGCAUCCUUGCUGCCCAUGAUGUAACUGACACGCCCAUGAUGUGUAUCCACCAUGUGCAAACCUUUGCUGACAAGGAUUUUGGUAUCCACAUGCAACUGUCCAAACUGUCCAGAAUGUGCAUCCACAUGCUACAUUCCUGCUGUCCACUUUGUACAGAUUGGGUGAUUUCUUUUCCUUUAACAAUGUGUCCUUGAUUUUUUAAUCACAACUUGGACACUUGUCACUAGCAGCAGCUGCUGAUUUUUUCAGCAGCCAAGCUUUCUCCAAUAGAAAAUUGAAGUUGAAUGUCUAGAACUACCAAAAUCCACGCCGUGAUAAUCCAUCCCAUGGAGGAGUUCAAGAAACUACUAGCAUCCAACAACAACGAGAACUUUUGAUAUACAAUCAAGCUGAUCGUGGAUAAGAAAAAAGAAAUGGAAGGCCUUAAUCUAGAAUUGGCAUGAAGCAACAUUUCCCACUUUAUGAUGCCACAAGUAUGGUUUAAGUUGGAAGCAGAAACAAAUUUAAUCAAUUGACUGAAGGACACUAAAAGUAAUUAUACAAAGAAGGAAGCUUACUUGGGGUGUGGAUAAGACCUCGGCAUCCUGCUUAUUGAGCCUCGAAUGCAGAAGAACAAAGUAGACUUUCCAGAAGUAACCCUCGCUCAUAUGGCACGGACACAGUUCAAAUCUCAAAGCAGCAAAUCUUGGCGCAAGAUGUUCAAUCACCAUAGCAUGCUCUUGCUGGGCAUCAGACAUGUCAAAAUCUAAAAUAAGAAACGCGUAUCAAUUAGGCACCCAUCCCAAAACUGCGUAACUGGAAAAAGCAACAAGUUUGAUAAAAAAAUCGGAAAGACAGAAAAAACUACUAUCAGCUAGUUUUUCUGUGCAACGUAAUCUUAACUCCUCUUCCAACAAUUUUACAAUGCAAUAUUUAAAAUUUCCGCGACUAAUAUCAACUGCAUUGAGUAUAACAUCCAUCACCGCAACGAGACAAGCUACGAAUCCUAAGCCACUCAACUGCCACAACCUUAUGCAUUGUCCUAACAAACAAUAGGGCAAAUUCUAUGUUCCUAACAUACGAAUCUCCAAUAGCAAAACAUCGAAAUUCGAAGAUUAACCCAACAAUUUGAAGGAGAAUAAUGCAAUGUACAUUUCAACUGCACCAAAGUUUCCACAUUUCUAAAAUUCACCAACGAAAACCGAGUAAUACAUUAAAAAUACAUACUGUAUAAAAUUUUGUAUACAUACCGCCCAAAUCCUCCUCCUCGUCCAGAGGAAAGUCCAGCCACGUCUCCGGAUGCAUCGCGAUGUUCUUGGUGAAUGCCAAGUUCAUCCAGAUACUUUCGCUGCUUCUCAUCGCAAUGAUUUUGAGCGACGAAUAUUGUGUUCGUCGUGAAAACAUACUUUGCGCGACUACUGUAUCAUUCGUCGCACAAGUCUACAUUUUUUUUUCAUUUACUUUAUAAUUUAUUAAUUUAAACAAGUUGCAUGACAAAUACUAUUUUUGUCGUACAAAAUGCAAUUUUUUUUUCCAUUUUCUUUCUAACUAAUGUAAAUUUUUAUUUUAAUCUAAAUAAAAAAUUCAAACCUAAUUAAACAUUACCAAAAUAAUUAACAAAACUAAUUUAUUAUCCCAAAUACAUAUUAUAAUUAAUGUAAAUAUUAAUAGUCAUCCAUAACAUAAAUUUAUUGAUUAAAGUCAAAUAUAACGACCUAAAAAUCUUAUUUCAUAUUAAAAAAAAAUCAAUUUCAAUCCUCCUCCUCCGGGGCUGCAACACCUCUCUUCGCAUUACUAGUAAUUCAAAAAAUACUACUUUUUAACAAAAAUAAUUCUACAUUAUCAAACCCAAGUUCGGCGUACACAUCAGCCAAAACCUUUGAAAAUUAGGGUUUUGAAAUUGUGUUUAUAUAGCACUCGGAACACUUAGCGCAACGAACAACUUCGUCGCGCAUACUUCUUUGUUCGUCACGCAAAAUGUGUAACAAAUGUGCACUAAAUGGGAGCGUUUGAAGGCAUUUGACCGUUUCAGUGAAAUGUUGCACGACAAAUAUGUGGAAAUUUUCGUCGUGCAAACAUUUGGUGGCAAAUUUGUUUUCCCGCGUUUUCUUGUGCGACGAUCGCAAGUGUUUGUCCCACAAAGUAUUCUUCGUCCCAUAAAUUAUUUUUUUCCUUUCCUGCCAUUUUUGCGCAAUGAUUAUUUUUUUUCGUCGCGCAAGUGCCUCUUAGGCGACCAAAUAUGUUUCUUCGCGCAAAAUCUCGUUGAGCAAACUAUUUUUUUAACUACUGGCUGCUUUGACCAGCUAACCUAAUAGGGGUGAGAAAGAUGUUACUCAUGAUUUUUUUCAUCAGAUUUUUAGGGAAAGGUCUAGUUGGGUUAGAUUCCCUUCUCCCUCUUGUUGCUUAGGCAACUUAACCCUCACAUAGUUGAGUAACAUAAGAGAUAAAAUAUUUUCUCAUAUUGUUUUUUAAUUUAUUAUACUCAAAUCUCAUAUAUAAAUUAAUAUUUUUCAAUAUGGCGAGGUCUUGUAAAUAUUUUCCCGUGGUGUGCGAUUGAGGAGGUGCCUCUGUUGUUUCAUGGCGUAACAACAUUGCUUAUGAAAUUUAUGCAAGUAUUGUUAAAAGGUUGGUUCGAUGAUAUUAAGAUGAUCUGAAACAUUGUUACUAAUCACUGUUAGCUGAAUUUGCAAUCCCUGAAUGCGGUUAUUGUAGUUGGUCUUCUUUUUAGUUUUAUUGUUGUAAAUUUGAGAUCUUAUUUACAAUUUCAUGCCAAGAUGUUUUACAUCACCCUCGUCGGAGAGUUUUCAAAGUCAAAUUUGAAUGACAUUAUUGCUAGUUUAUUGUGAGGCUUAACCGUCCACUCUCCCACCAACUUAGUGUAAUAAUAUCGUUUGUUCAAAAAAAUUAUACCAGUGAAAUUAAUCUUUUGAUUUUACCUGGUUAAUGAAUUCAAUAAAACCAUUAUCUGUUUACUCAUCGAAUCCGUCAAACAAUUUGAUGAUGAUAUAGGUUAGACAAAAUCAUUCCAAUUUUUUAAAUGAUUUACUAAUUAAGGGUUGGUCAAGAUAUUCUAAGGAGACAAUCUGAUAACAUAACGUAAAAUAAGAAAAGAUUAAAAGCUCAUAAAAAUAGAUAGAUUCUGAAAUACACUCCACGAAACUGAUCAGCUCUUUUAUUUAAAUCCAAAUUAAUCUCUCUCUAAACAUCUUUCAUUCAAGAACAAGCAACUUGGGAAGAGAGUGGCUUGAAAGGAAACUUAGUUGUCGAAGCAUAAUCAAAAUUGAAAUUUUUAUUUCCAUAGAUUGGUUGACCAUUAUUGACCAAACACUCGCCACCAGAUUUUGACAAAAUUGAAGGAUCAAUGGGUUCUGCAGACUGAAACCCAUCGCAACUAAGCUUCACAUCCUGUUGAGAACAUAGACAGUCAUUAGUGAUUGUUACAUGCCACUUGACAUCGCUAAUCUUUCCUUGGGCAAUUUUAAGAUUGUCUAACGUGCAGGGUUGGCAAUAUCCUGCAAUAAUCGAAUAUGUUAAGUUGGUAAACUACUAUAUUGACAGUAAAAUACUAUACACUAAUUCUUCUAAACUGCGGAGGAGGGAUUUGAACUCGUAACAUAUAGUGAGUUGAAGAGAAAAACUUAAAAAAAGAAUGUCAUGGAAAAUUAUAUAAAUUGUUACUACCACCAAGUAUUUCAUAUAAAAAGUAAAAACUAAUAUGCAGAUACAUAAACUAAAAAUUAACUAGAUCAUUCGUUAAGCAAGACUACAAGGAAUAGUAACAUUGGAUAAAAAAAAGGAGGGUAAAACUUUACCUCCUACAAUGAGACUGCAAACGAAAACCAACAGAGAAAAGUUCACGAAUCUAGAUGCCAUUGGAUUGGAGACAAAAACCAGAAUUUUGUUUUGCUCUUGGCUGCCCUUGUUAUUUGAUGAAAAAGUUAGAGAAAUCUAACCCAAUUUAUAAGGGCUUCUAGGGAAACAAAAAACGUAAAGAUAUCAAUGCAUUAAUACUUGAAAUCUUUUGUGAUAAAAGAAUACUUGAAAUAUUUGAACGAAAAGGUAAAUGUUGGAGGGUGUAUUUAAUUGAGAUUUUGAAGGAAUUUAAGAUUUAUAAACUAAAGAUUUUGAUGGACUUUAAUUGAUUUGUAGAGUUUUCAUGUAAAAUUGUGAUUCAAUUCCCUCAAAAUAUCAGGGUGAGAGAUGAGAUUUGUGAGUGCUUAAAAUACACUCAAAUUUUCUCCAAUUCCUCAAAUUCAUCAAUUUUUCAAAAUUCUUUAAAAUAAAUUCCUAAUUGAAUACACAUUAAAUGUUAUAUACUUUUUAAAAUUCUAAUUAAAUACACCCGAUUUCUAAGGAUUAUCAUAAAUCAUCUUAAAAUCCUGAUGGGAUACAGGUUGAAUUUUAGAGAAUCACUUAAAAUCUUAAUUGAAUACCCAUAGAUUCAUUAAAAAAAUUAAAAUCUCUUAAAAUCUCAAUUAAAGUGGCAAUAGAGAAAAGAAUACCGAAUAAAAAAAAUACCAAACCGAAAAUCCUGAAAAUUUCAGUGCCCAAUACCGAACUGAUUCCAAACUUUCGGUACGCGAAUCGGUCUCACAUUUCCAUUUUUUUGGUAAUCCCGAACCGAACCGAAAAAAAAAAAAAAAUAUAUAUAUAUAUAUAUAUAUAUUAUCUAUAUCUAUAUAUAUAUAUAUAUAUCUAUAUAUAUUAUCUAUAUCUAUAUAUAUAUAUAUAUAUCUAUAUAUAUUAUCUAUAUCUAUCUAUAUAUAUAUAUUAUCUAUAUAUAUAUAUAUAUAUAUAUAUGAUAGGAUCAAGGGACAAACAUUUUGACAAACAUUUUUACAUUCCUUUUAAGCCGUUAGAUUACAUAACAUCUAAAGGUCCUCAAUGAAUCAUUCAAUGACUUGGAUGCUUACGUGAAUUAUAAUUAACACUGAAAAAGAAUAAAAACUAGAAAAUUAAUUACAAUUUGAAAAGAGGAAGACAACCUUGCGCACAAAGGCCUCAUUGAUUUGUGCAAAAUACCUUCAAGUCUUUUGAGUCUUCGUUCUCAUUUUUGGGUAAAAACCCCAUAAACCUCUUUGAUUCUAUUUCAAAUCCACACUCAGAUUUAAUUGUAUAAAAAAAAAAUUUGAGGGAGGCAGUUAGAGUUGUUGAUUUGGGGUUUAGUUUUGUCAAUUUAUUGAAAAAGCGAGGAACGAAUACUUGAAGCAGAUUGAUACUUGAUCUGCUUUUAUAUCGGAAUUUUGUAUCGAUCAAUUGAAGGAACGAUACUAAGUUUGACAGCGUGAGUGAUAGGAAUUUGAGGUGUUGGGGUUGGAUGAAGCAAUUCGAUGGUCAUGCUUCUGCAUUUUCAUCCAAGACGGCCAAUUUUGCUUCUUCCUUACGUUUGCAGGAUUAUUCCCUCAAUUUUUAUUCUUUUCUUAGUUUUAACUUUUAUUAAUUUCUUAAUUAUAAAUUUAUACCUCAUUUAAUGUUUAGAAUCCUCUACAUAACUCUUAAUCAAGACCGUUGAAUGUUACAAGAUCUAAAGGUUGUAAAUGAGUGUAAAAAUGUUUGUCAAAAUCUUUGUCCCUUGAUCCUCUCUCUCUCUCUCUCUCUCUCUCUCUCUAUAUAUAUAUAUAUAUAUAUAUAUAUAUUAUUGUUGAUGCACAAAAUCAGCGAAGACUUUGGUACAACAGAAAGUGUCAGGUUUUGUGACCUUCGCUUGGUUGCUUCGGUCACUAGUGAGGAUAAGUACGUAAAUGAACAGAGACAGAGAAGCAAACACAGGAUGUACGUGGUUCACCCAGAUUGGCUACGUCCACGGAGUAGAGGAGUUCUUAUUAGUAGUGAAGGGCUUACACAAGUACAAAGGAUCAAGCUCUCAAUUUAGUGAGUUCUUGUGAAUGAUUUAACACAAAUGGCAUUAGGCCAUAUUGUGGGGGAAUGACCCCUAUUUAUAGAAAAACUUGUAGCUUUGUCACAUUGACAUGUGUCAUGUUAUGAUUGGUUCUUGAUGUCGACACGUGCUGCGCUCUGAUUGGCUUCUAAUCUUGACACGUGUCGAGUAGUGAUUGGCCUCCUGGUCGGAGGGGAACUCUUCUGGGUCCUUGACAGUAUAGCGUUGGCCGGUGCUCGGUAGUUUCGGGAUUGGUCAAGUAUGGUACAAACAAUUAUCUAUAUCAAUAUAUAUAAAGUGAGCACCCUAUAAGGGUGAAACAUUCAAAAUAUCAUAGAUUGCCCUUUAAGAAUUUCAAAAAUUACAAUUGAACCAAAAAAAGUUUAAUUGAUUCACCACUUUUUAAUUUUCAAUGAUAUAAAUUUAAAACUUUAGAAAAGAAAAAAAUCUUCCACGUUAGUAGGUGGUUAGGUUUCAUGUUUUUGCUUCAUUUUUUUUAAUGAUUUUUAAUAAAAUAUAAAUUAGCUAUUUAAAUAAAAAAAUUUAAAAAACGAAAUAUGGUCUAAUAUAAAAAGGUCAAUGCGUGUGGCAAGAGGCUAGUAUAUAUAAAGGGAGAAGGCAAAAAUGGUGAAACAUUCAUAACCCCAAAUUGCCCUCUACCAUUAAAAUUUCAAAUAAAAUAAGAAAUAAAAAAAAAACCAACUCCCGUAACUAACUUUAUUUUAAAAUAUAUAUAUUAUUAUUCUGUUUUUUUUUUCAAAUAAAAAAAAAUCAAAGGAGCCAAUUGCCACAUGCAUACGCAUGUGGCAAGAGGCUAGUUUAAUUUUAAAUAUAUAUUUGGAAUUGUAACAUCCGUCAGAUUUGGCUGAGAUUUAAUCUGAACUGUUGAAUUCAAAUCAAAGUUCAAACCCUCAGGUACUGUUUGGUACGUGGGACGGGAUGGAACAGAGUGGGACAAGGCGUUCCAUCCCACGUUUGGUGCGCCUAAAACGGGCGGAAUGCGCUGUUCCACGGAACGAGUUUUGGGUAAAUUUUCGUUCCACCUCACCCCCUAGAACGACUCGUUCUACAUCCAUGGAACACAAAAUUAUAACCUAUCUGUCUCCUUCUUCUUCCUCCUUGUUUCCAUCCGAGGGCAUUUUUACUCCCUCUCCGUUCCGUCCCGUCCUGUCCUGUCUACAUACCAAACAAUACCUCAGAGAACUCAGUCACCCUCUCUCUCUGUCUCUCGAGUCUCGACUCGACCUCACCUCACCUUAGACACCACCCUUCUCGCUGAUUUCUCUAUCCGUCUUCGAAUCCAGCCACACCCACAUCACACAAGUGACUCACCUCUCUGAUCUCUCUCUCAAAUCAGGUAAAUUUUGGAAUUAAUUUAGGGUUUGAAAUUUAGUUUAAGUUUCGAAGUCUAGAUUAGGGUUUGUGAAAUUUAGCACUUGGAACUGACAUGGAGUUUUAUUUACAUUGUGCCUUGUUUCUUCAUGGUUGGGCUCUCCACAAUUAGGCAUAUGGAGACUCCUCAUUCCAAGAUUGUAAGCGAGCAUCUGAAGCAGUUGUGACCAUAAUUAUCAAGAAUUUGCAGGUUUAUCUUUUUUUCUUUCUCUUUCUUUCCAUUUUAUAAUAUGGCGAGACUGGUUUUCUUUCUACCCAUACCUAACAAGAAAUAAAUAGAUGUCUUAUCCUUACUUCCCUUGCAACGUUUCUCUGGGGGGUUCUUGUUAAGUUUCUGCAGUCGAGGUAGUACUUUUUAGUUGGAUGUGUACAAGCUUUAGAAUACUAGGGUUUUCAGCUCAGUUGCAUACCCAUAUAAUGAUGGGUUGCAGUAUAUUUAUACACAUCAAUUUCAUAUUACAAGUAGGGUUUUGAAUACCCUAUUUACACGAAGAUCUUUGAAUUCAAAAUACAAAAUCACAACAAACUUAUCUUUGAACUAUUCAAACUAAAACCUGACCUAGCAAUCUUAUCCUAUGAAGAGUUUGUUUCGGAGCUAAGUUUUUGAUAAGAUUGACUCGAUCAAACAUCCCCCCACAAGCUGACAGGUCAAGCAACCACUGGAAGCUUGGAAACUAACAAUUUGAACAGUGAAAAAGAUAGACCCUUUGUGAAUAAAUCGGCAAUCUGGUCUUGGGAACAAAUAAAAUGAACCAAAAGUUGUCCACGUACCACCUUUUCUCAUACAUAAUGGUAGUCCACUUCCAAGUGUUUUGUUCGUGCGUGGAACACGGGAUUGGAAGCCAAAGCAAUCGAUGAAACAUUGUCACAUCAUAUAUGCGGCCGAUGAAGAUAAAUAUGAAGAUCUCGAAACAAGCUGCCUAACCAUGAUAAUUCAGCUAUAGUAUAAGCAAGUUGCCUAUACUGGGCCUCUGUACUUGAUCUUAAAACAGUCUUUUGUUUCUUUGAAGUCCACGAAAUUAAAUUUGUUCCCAAAUAGAUACAGAAACCACCAGUUGAAUGACGAGUAUCCAGAUUUCCUGCAUAAUCAGCAUCAAAGAAAGCAUUUAAUCGAACAUCUCUAGUUUUAUAGACAAUACCAUGAUCAUAAGUGGCCUUUAAAUAACACAAUAUCCUAUUAACCACCAUCCAAUGUGUAGUCCAAGGCAUAUGCAUGAACUGGCAAACCUGGUUCACAACAUAAGAAAGAUCAGGCAUGGUGAUCAUCAAGUAUUGCCACACUCCAACAACCGUUCGAUAUUGUUCUGGAUUCAAAUAAGGUUCACCAUCAUACUGACUUAGCUUAUGUCCCGUAGGCACAGGAGUGGAAAUAGGUUUUACAUUAGUAAUCUUUGUGCAUUCUAGCAGAUCCAACGCAUACUUGGACUAUGUAAGAUGCAUAUUCUGCCCAGAAUAAGUGACCUCGACACCCAAAAAAUAACUUAAAGGUCCUAAGUCCUUCGUAGAAAACGAAGUGCCAAGCUUCAUGAUCAACCAUUGCAUUUGUUUAUCAUUAUUUCCUGUAAGAAGAAUAUCAUCCACGUAGAUAAGUAAGAUCAAGUAAACUCCUCAUUAAUUAAACACAAAUAAUGAAUAAUCACAUAACAAUUCUUCAAACCCAAGUUGAAGGAGAAAAUCCGAGAAUCUUUGAAACCAGGCUUUGGGAGCCUGUUUUAAACCAUACAAACUUCGUUGCAAUUUACACACAUAAUUGGGAUACUGUUGAUCAAGAAAUCCUGGCAGCUGUUUCAUGUACACAUCCUCAUCCAAAUUGCCAUGCAAGAACGCAUUCUGUACAUCUAACUGUCGCACGCUCCACUUCUUGGAUACAGCAAGACUCAAAACAAGUCAAAUGGUGCUAUAUUUCACGACUGGACUAAAUGUUUCAUUAUAAUCCACUCCGGAUUGCUGAUGAUAACCAUUAGCCAUAAGUCAAGCCUUGUGACAUUCGACAGAACCAUCUACAUGUCUCAUGAUUUUAAACACCCAUUUGUUUGGCAGCAAGUUCAUUUCAGGACGAUAAGGAACAAGAGUCCACAUUCCACACCUUUGUAAAGCACUGAACUCUUGUGCCAUUGAUGCCCUCCAUUCAGGAUAUUUAAUAGCCUGACUAAAACAACAAGGCUCAACAAAUUUGGAGUCAGUUAUUACAUGCAAAGCGUACUUUGGAUUUGACUUUUGAAUCCCAGAUUUUGACCUAGUUGUCAUUGAGUGUGGGAGAGUAGUCUCUUGUGUGGAAGAUGACAUGGUAGAUAAUGUUGAUGGAUUAGAUGGACUCUGAGAACGUUGCACGGAUGGAAUGUGAACCAAUUCUUGCUCAUUGGUGGGACCUAAUGUGGAACUAGGUUGAGGAGUCAUGUUUAAACUAAGGUUAGGAGUUGUAGGUGAAUGAGGAUUAAGGUCUAAAUUCGAAACAGUUUCUGAAUGAGCAAAAACUGGCGUGAUAUACGGCUGGACAUUAUAAACCAAGGUUGACUCAGGCUGUUGGUUUAUGCUAGGGUGAGACACGACAGCAUUUGGUGAAGAUAUGAAAGGUUCCAAGGUUGGUGAGGAUGUUGUGCUUAAAAUCAAGUCAGGAGUCAAGAGACUACCUGUGGUAGUGACGUUUCCUUGGGAGAUGUAAGUUCCUUGAAAGGAAAGGAAUCCUCAUCGAAUAAGACAUGGCAAGAGAAAUAAAUUCGUCUCGUGGAUAAGUCCAAGCACUUGUAUCAUUCAUGAUUCAGCGAGUAUCCUAAGAAAACACAUGGUUUGGACUUGGGUUGGAGUAUAUUUAUACACAUCAAUUUCAGAUUACGAGUAGGGUUUUGAAUACCCUAUUUACACGAAAAUCUUUGAAUUCAAAAUACAAAAUCACAACAGACUUAUCUUUGAACUAUUCAAACUAAAACCUGACCUAGCAAUCUUAUCGUAUAAAGAGUUUGUUUCGGAGCUGAGUUUCUAAUAAGAUUGACUUGGUCUAACAGGAUGGUGUCAUGGUUAUUAGUUUAUAUGUUUACGGGCAUAUAAUAUAUAACUCCAUUUGCCUUAAUACAUGGAUAGGCGUUAUCCAAAUUUUGGUGGAAUGAAUUAUUUUCGAAUGUGGAAAGUUCUUCAAGUAGUGUUGAUAAUAGUGUUAACCAAAUUGGCAGUAUAGUUUCGAGCAACUAUGAGCAUUCAACUGAAGAAAGGGAUUUUGAGACUUUGCCUUCUGCUCUUAAUGGAAAGCUUGAUGAAAUAGAAAAUGAUCAUGGAGAUGCUUUGCCGUUUAAUAAGUUUCCCAGUGAACUAGAGUCCAGUAAGCAUGUGAGUAAGGAUAGUUCCAAGACAGAGUGGUCUGAUGGUUUGCCAUAUUUUUGUCUGCAUAUAAUAUAAUAAAUGAGUGAUAAAGAUAGAUGAUCUGCCAUCUAUGCUAAAAGAUGAGGAGCUUGUUGAUCUGAAAGAACCAAGUGUAGAGGAGGUCAAUGAUGAGGCAACUGAUUUUACAAGUAAGGACGUAAAGCCCCCUCAUUUGGCUGGCCCUAAUGUCAUGAAUAUCAUAUUGGUAGCUGCAGAAUGUGCUCCAUGGUAAAAAACAGGUAAUGUUUCGUAAACCCAGAAUGUACGAUGGCAUUAUCCUCCAGCAUGCAUGUUUAACAGACCUCCCAUUUGAUUUACAAUUCUAUGGUUGCUAAAGCUAGAACAUAAAGGUAUAUAAGUCAUCUACUUGUUUCUUCCAAUAGCCCAAAUUAUUUUGGGAUUCCCGAUUUGUCCCGAAAUCCAGACACUAUUUUGAGAUUCCCAAAAAUUUGGUUUGGAAUCGGUCUUAAAAUUGGCAUUCAUGAAAACUUUGGUUUGGGAAUCGAGACAAUGAUUUCGGUUUGGUAUCCCAUACCGAACCAGCCCUCCUCAUGUUCGACCUAGCCUCAAACCUUAGAACUCGGAUUGGGGAUGUUCCUUGAAUCCCAAGCCUUGGAUCUCGAGCAUAGAUCUUAGACUUGAGACCAAAACCCAGGACUUCGAUACCGAAGUGAUCCAAACCCAAGCCCUAAAUCCAUCUUUUGAGCCAUAAACCCCAAACCCUAGUGCUAGAGAUGGAGUAAUACUUUUUUUUUUUAAUAAACGAUAUUAUCUAUAUUAAAGAGGUGGGGAGUGGGCUAAGUCUCACAGUGGGCUAGCAAUAAUGUGGUUUAAUUUGUCUUUGGUUUGAAUCGAACUUAAAACCUCACACUUAUAAGUAGGCUGACAAUUUAUAACACGAUCCAUUAAUCUGACACGAAAUUAACAAGUUAUCGGGUUGACACAAUAACGAAUCGAGUCAUUAUCAGGUAAUUCGAUAAGCACCUAUUUAUAUAACGGGUUGGUCCAGGUAUACAUGUGGGUACCCCGAUACAUGAUAAGCAAAAUAUUAAUUUAAUAAUUUUAUACCCCUAAAAAACUAUAACAAUUAUAUAUAUAUAUAUAUAUAUAUAUAUAUAUGUGUAUAAUAUUAUAAGGAAAACUAACAAAAAGUCCUAAAAAACUUUAGUUUUUAAUGAAAAUGACAAAACAAAUGUGUAAGUGAAUAGUACCAAAAGUGACAAUUAAGGUAAAAAAAAUCCUUAACGUUGAAAGUGAACAGUACUUAUAGUGUUUCAUUAAGAUUCCCUAUUAUAUAAUAUAAUAAUUAUAUAUAUAUAAUUAAAGAGAUAAUAUAUUUUUAUAGGUAUAUUACCAUUGUUUUCCUCCCACGCUCGGCUGCUGGAGAAAUUUUUAGUUGUGACAGGAACACGGAUGGUACACCACAUGUUUUAAUGCAAGUGGUGGAAAAUUUUAAUUUUUAAGUUAUUAACCUUUUAACACACAUAACCCACCAUUUAUAUAGGGACACGUGGUGUACCACCUUGUGUGACAGUCACACUGAAAAAUCUCUCCAGCUGCUGGACUCGCCAUACAGCUUCAGACGCAGUUGUAGACUCAGGUCCCAGCGUGCACAUGGCCUCUUAUUUUGUAUUUUAUUUUUUAAAAUUCGAAGUCAAUGGUGGAACACGUCUCGGCCUCUUGGGUUCUUGAACCUGAAAACAAGGCUAUUAUUCUUACGAAGUUCACAAAUCGUCGUCGUUGAAUUCGGUCACAGUGAUGGUAUUCGUCAGAGUAAACUCACGCCGAAUCGACACCAAAGUGUAAGGGCACAAAUACUCAAAGCGUAUAUAAGUCUUAAUAGUAAAUGUGGUUCGGCCAUCGAAGUGCCGAACUCUAAAUUCCACUUGAAAGUAUCCAAUCAUAAAAUAACUCGGCGUGCAAUGUGCCGAGCCCAAUAAACUGUAACACCUCACUUCGCCGAGAAGGCUGAUGAGAUGACCUCGAUCAAUAAGGAUUCGGAAAUCCUUCUCGACCGAGACUUGGAUAGAUAACCAGUCACCCUCAACGCAGUGCUGUCUAUGCCGACUGAAGAUGCUGUGAGAUCGGCUAAUUAUACGGCGACAGUGCUGUUUAUGACAACUGAAGAUAUCACCGGUUGCCUUCGCAGUGUUGUUUAUCCAAACUGAAGGUGUGUCAGCGAAAAGAAAAAAGAAAAAAUCUCAAGGUUGUUGAGAGAAUUUGCGCAGGGCAGUUGUGUGUUGAAUUAGAGGGCCUAUUUCGAUGUCUUCCCUCCCUAUUUAUAGCAGCCAACCUGUAUUGAAUCCCAAUCACUCGUGGAUUAAAACUUCUUCUCAUGAUCCAAUUUAUCUCGGCCAAUCCUAUUCCUACUAGGACUUCAAACAUAACUUGUUACCAAACUGAUCCCGUCGAAACUCCUCUCAUAAUAGGAUUCGUCCACAUUCCACUUUCCGAUAGGAUAUGGCCAACUUCGACCGCGCAGCCCAUGGGCUAAAUAUCUCCCAGUGACACCUGUACACGAUUUCUGGGCCAAGAGAGAAUCUAAACCCGGCCUAUCCAAUACUAGGCCGAGAAAGAUCUAACUCGACCCAAACAAUAUUUUUGGGCCCAAACAAGUGUAUAUGUAUAUAUUUUAUAUUAAAUAUGUAUUAUUGUAUUAUUAUUCUAUAUAAAUUUUUAAAAAAAAUUACUUAUUUAUUUAUUUUUAUUGUAUAUUAUAGGCAAACAGUGAGAUUAAAAAAAUUAUAAAACACAUUUAAAAAAGUAUCAAGUAAUUUAAAAAUACCGAACACAUUAAAAACAAGCAUAAUAAUUCAUUUACAAGUGCGAAAAAUGUGAAAAACAUGCAAAGGCUCGUGAUCGUAUCAUUUACGCUAUGAGUAUGGGUACAUUGUCAUUUGAAUUUUUAAAACCAUAAAAACCCUCAUUAGUAGUAUUUUUAAGGGAGUUCAAAAUAAAUAAUCAUUAAUGUUAAAAAUGUGAAAGCUUAUAUAAAUGUGCAAAGUUCCUCAACUUUGAAACGCAACUCCUUUCAUUUUGCAUAUCCUUGAACAUUUGCUACUUUAUAGUAAUGUACUAAUGAUUUUCCAUUAGUCUCUUAUUUUGGAGUAUGUAAUAUUUGAAAGACAAAUUUUUUUUUAAUGUUUUGAAAUGAUAUUUAUGUGACAAUAUGGUAUGCAUAUACUAAUUUAGUAUUAUAUUUUCUAUUUUCUAUUUUUUGGGGUUAAAUUUUGUUUUUCAUUUUCAUUAUUUAUUGAUUUAAAUUAUGUUUGUAACGGGUAAUGCAUCGGGUCAUAUUACUUGAUAAUUUUAACGGGUUCAUUUCAGAUCGGAUCAUAUUACCCAUUUAUUUUAACGGGUGAUACACGACACUACCCGUUAAAAUAUCGAGUAUGAUAUGAAAAUGAUACGAACAUGAACACAAACUCGAACAAUUUGACACGAAUGCCAGAAACCGAGGCUAUUUCAAACAAUAUGAGUUCAAAACUAAGACUGAAAACAACAACAACAACAACAACAACAAAGCCUUUUCCCACUAAGUGGGGUCGGCUAUAUGAAUCCUAGAACGCCAUUGCGCUCGGUUUUGUGUCAUGUCCUCCGUUAGAUCCAAGUACUCUAAGUCUUUUCUUAGAGUCUCUUCCAAAGUUUUCCUAGGUCUUCCUCUACCCCUUUGGCCCUGAACCUCUGUCCCGUAGUCACAUCUUCGAACCGGAGCGUCAGUCGGCCUUCUUUGCACAUGUCCAAAUCAUCGGAGCCGAUUUUCUCUCAUCUUUCCUACAAUUUCGGCGACUCCUACUUUACCUCGGAUAUCCUCAUUCCCAAUCUUAUCCUUUCUCGUGUGCCCACACAUCCCACGAAGCAUCCUCAUCUCCGCUACACAAAUUUUGUGUACGUGUUGAUGCUUCACCGCCCAACAUUCUGUGCCAUACAACAUCGCUGGCCUUAUUGCCGUCCUAUAAAAUUUUCCCUUGAGCUUCAAUGGCCUACGACGGUCACACAACACGCCGGAUGCACUCUUACACUUCAUCCAUCCAGCUCGUAUUCUAUGGUUGAGAUCUCCAUCUAAUUCUCCGUUCUCUUGCAAGAUAGAUCCUAGGUAGCGAAAACGGUCGCUUUUUGUGAUCUUCGCUAGAUUGCUCCGGUCAUUAGUGUGGAUAAGUAUAUAAAUGGAUAGAGAUAGGAAAGCAAACACAAGAUGUACGUGGUUCACCCAGAUUGGCUACGUCCACGGAAUAGAAGAGUUCUCAUUAAUUGUGAAGGGUUUACACAAGUACAUAGGUUCAAGCUCUCCUUUAGUGAGUACAAGUGAAUGAUUUAGUACAAAUGACAUUAGGAAAUAUUGUGGGAGAAUGAUCUCGUAAUCACGAAACUUCUAAGUAUCGGAGUGUGGUGUCGUCUUGACUUGCUUUAUCUGUCUCAUAGGUAGAUGUGGCAUCUUCUCUGGAAGUACUCUUCCUCCAUCCAGGGGUGGUAUCUUUAACUGGUGGAGAUGCACAAGGUAAUGUAUCAAUUUCACUUGAAGCUUACUUGUAGUCUCAGGCUUGGUCAAGCGCGAUACAAACCAUGUAGUAGGAGUCCCCCAAGUCGCCGAGCUAGGGGGUCUGCUGAAAGAGGUGACAGACAAGGUAAGCAAUCAGAGCUCCGACUAAUUGUUCACCUUCUCCCCAUCUUACAGCAUCAUGAAGGAUAAAGAGAAGAAAAAUGAGAAGAGAUGAUAUGAGAUACUUUUGCUUUUGAAGAAGUAACUUUCCACAGGCUUAUUCUUGAACUGAGCUGGAGGGUUUUCUGGUUUCCUCCAGAGUAUAAGGCCGACUGAAGAAUUUGAGGGUCAAAACAAGUCCAUCAAAUCUAGAGUACGUUCCACCCUGCUGAUAUGGGAUACUUUUGCUUUUGACAGAGUAAUGGAUGUAUCGGCACGUGUGCUGUUACGCUUGUCUCCACAUGCUUCCUUGUAUCCUUCACACUUGCCCUAUCUGUUCCUCAAGCAGAUGCGGAAUCUUCCCUGGAAACAUAAGAUGUUGAAGAUGAGUACUCGAGAGCAAUGCCAGGUAAGUAAUCAGGUAAGGGGUUCCAGGCAGUCAGUUCCUGGCUGGAAGCUUGAUUCCAAGUGCUGACUGAUUGCUCUCUUUCUCCUUGUCUUGCAGGUAAAAACAAGGCCAAAGGAAAAGACAGGGAAAAAGCAUGAUAUGGGAUACUCUUGCUUUUAACCCUGAUGAUAUGAGAUAUUCUUGCUCUAGUAUAGCUUGUUUGCAGAGGUAUUAUCGGGGGGAAAGAAAGCUGAAUAUUUCGAAAGGCUUCGUUGGGAGUGCCCUCUCAGAUAUGAUGAAGGGUUGAGCAUUUUUGCAGGUCUGCCUGUCCGUUGGGGAUGGAGGUCGACAUAUAUAGGAGUCUCCCUAACAACAAGUAGUAAUGCUAUUCCUUUACCCUGCUUGGUCAUAGCACGGUAGUGGGAGCUGCCAGUUUCACAUGUUUUAACUCUGUCAGAGCACUUUGAAAAAGUGGUCUGUGGUAUCUGGCUCUCGAGAUUCGGAGAACGAUGCCUCUUCGAUUUUUGAGAAAGCAAUCAUGCUGGGGGUCUGGCUCUCGAGAUUCGGAGAGCAGUGUCUCUUCGAUUUUUGAGGAAGUAAUCAUGUUGGGAGUCUGGCUCUCGAGAUUCGGAGGGCGGUGCCUCUUCGAUUUUGGAGCAAGCAAUCCUGUUGGGAGUGUUGUCUCGAAUGUGAGUAAAGGUUGGGCAUGUUUGCUAGUCUACCUUGCCACGAAGCACAAAGGUUGACACACAGGGACUUUCCAAUUAUCCAGCAAUGGUACUGUUCCUUUACCCUCUCUUCGCUUUUGAGAAAGUAGUCAUGUUGGGAGUCUGGCUCUCAAGAUUCGGAGGACGGUGCCUCUUCGAUUUUGGAGCAAGCAAUCUUGUUGGGAGUGUUUUCUCGAAAGUGAGUAAAGGUUGGGCAUGUUUGCUAGUCUACCUUGCCACGAAGCACAGAGGUUGACACACAUGGACUUUCCAAUUAUCCAGCAGUGGUACUGUUCCUUUACCCUUGUGGGUAAUAAUAUGGUAGCUAGACCUUCAAAAUUUAUGUGUCUAAACUUUGUUAGUGCUGUUUCUUUGCUAUUCUUUUACCUUUCUUGGUCAGAGCGAUGUAGUGGGAGCUGCAAGCUUCACGUGCUCAACUUUGGCAGAGAACUUUGGCAAAGUUAUCUGUGGUACCCAUGAGUUAUUGUUGCGUGUGGGAAGUGGGUGAUUGAACAGUAAGAUUCAUGUGCUUUCUACUUCACCAGAAGUCUUCGACAGAAUGCCCAUAAUUUCUGCAAAGCUGAGUGUGUGUGUGACAGGUGCUGACAAGGCUAGAAAAGUAGGUGCCUCUUCGAUUUCUGAGAUCGGCCCUCGUGGUCUCUGAGCAGCCCAGCUUUUGAGAAAGCGAGCGCCUCUUCGAUUGAUUCGGAAAACGAUGCCUCAUCGAUUUUUGAGAAAGCAAUCAUGCUGGGGGUCUGGCUCUCAAAGAUUCGGGGAGCAGUGUCUCUUCGAUUUUUUGAGAAAGUAAUCAUGUUGGGAGUCUGGCUCUCGAGAUUCGGAGGGCGGUGCCUCUUCGAUUUUGGAGCAAGCAAUCUUGUUGGGAGUGUUUUCUCGAAUGUGAGUAAAGGUUGGGCAUGUUUGCUAGUCUACCUUGCCACGAAGCACAGAGGUUGACACACAGGGACUUUCCAAUUAUCCAGCAAUGGUACUGUUCCUUUACCCUCUCUUCGAUUUUUAAGAAAGUAGUCAUGUUGGGAGUCUGGCUCUCGAGAUUCGGAGGACGGUGCCUCUUCGAUUUUGGAGCAAGCAAUCUUAUUGGGAGUGUUUUCUCGAAUGUGAGUAAAGGUUUGGGCAUGUUUGCUAGUCUACCUUGCCACGAAGCACACAGAGGUUGACACACAGGGACUUUCCAAUUAUCCAGCAGUGGUACUGUUCCUUUACCCUUGUGGGUAAUAAUAUGGUAGCUAGACCUUCAAAAUUUAUGGGUCUAAACUUUGUUAGUGCUGUUUCUUUGCUAUUCUUUUACCCUUCUUGGUCAGAGCGAUGUAGUGGGAGCUGCAAGCUUCACGUGCUCAACUUUGGCAGAGAACUUUGGCAAAGUUAUCUGUGGUACCCAUGAGCUACUUGUUGCGUGUGGGAAGUGGGUGAUUGAACAGUAAGAUUCAUGUGUUUUCUACUUCCCCAGAAGUCUUCGACAGAAUGCCCAUAAUUUCCGCAAAGCUGAGUGUGCGUGUGACAGGGUGCUGACAAGGCUGGAAAAGUAGGUGCCUCUUCGAUUUCUGAGAUCGGCCCUCGUGGUCUCUGGGGAGCCCAGCUUUUGAGAAAGCGAGCGCCUCUUCGAUUUCUGAGAUCGGCCUUUCGUGGUCUUUGAGCAGCCCAACUUUUGAGAAAGCAAACGCCUCUUCGAUUUCUGAGAUCAACCCUCGUGAUCUCUAAGCAGCCCAGCUUUUGAGAAAGCAAACGCCUCUUCGAUUUCUGAGCAGGCGCCUCUUCGAUUUCUGAAGCUCCGUCGAGUGCAGAUUUUUAUAGAGGCUGGCAUUAAGUUCCAAAGCACACUUGAAUCUCCACCAGUAGAAGCUUCAUUCUUGCACUUCUAAGAUCUUGAUUUGUCCGACCUCUUCUCUCUUCAACACCUUUGAAAAUGUCUGGCCCCUCCGACCGUCGUUUUGACUUGAACCUUGUUGAAGAGGCAGCCCCGCCUUCUCCAGACAACAUAUGGCGCCCAUCCUUCGUCUCCCCUACUGGUCCUCUUACCGUUGGGGAUUCCGUGAUGAAGAAUGAUAUGACCGCUGCGGUGGUGGCCAGGAACCUUCUCACUCCCAAAGAUAACAGACUACUUUCCAAACGGUCUGAUGAGUUAGCUGUUAAGGAUUCGCUGGCUCUCAGUGUUCAGUGUGCAGGUUCUGUGUCUAAUAUGGCCCAACGCCUAUUUGCUCGAACCCGCCAAGUUGAAUCAUUGGCGGCUGAAGUGAUGAGUCUCAAACAGGAGAUUAGAGGGCUCAAGCAUGAGAAUAAACAGUUGCACCGGCUCGCACAUGACUAUGCUACAAACAUGAAGAGGAAGCUUGACCAGAUGAAGGAAACUGAUGGUCAGGUUUUACUUGAUCAUCAGAGAUUUGUGGGUUUGUUCCAAAGGCAUUUAUUGCCUUCGUCUUCUGGGGCUGUACCGCGUAAUGAAGCUCCGAAAUGAUCAACCUCUGAUGCCUCCUCCUUCUAGGGUUCUGUCCAGUACUGAGGCUCCGAAAUGAUCCCCCUCCGGUGCCUUCUCUUUCUGGGGCUCUACCGACUGCUGAGACUUCUCCUAAGCAACCUUUGUGAAGGCUCCGUCUUGUGUGUUUAUUUUGACUCAUGUAUAUGUACAUAUUUGUAGCUUAUCGGGAUAUCAAUAAAUAAGCUUUCCUUCAUUUCAACGUAUUGUGUUAAAUACACCAAAGCCUUCUUCGCUAAGUUCUUUGAAUUUUCUUUUGUUGAAGCUUGUAUGUUGAAGCUUUCUGAGUGGAGCAUGUAGGUUGGGGUAGUGUUCCCUUAAUUUCCCGAGUGAGGAAAACUUCUCGGUUGGAGACUUGGAAAAUCCAAGUCACUGAGUGGGAUCGGCUAUAUGAAUCUUAGAACGCCAUUGUGCUCGAUCCUGUGUCAUGUCCUUCGUUAGAUCCAAGUACUCUAAGUCUUUUCUUAGAGUCUCUUCCAAAGUUUUCCUAGGUCUUCCUCUACCCCUUCGGCCCUGAACCUCUGUCCCAUAGUCGCAUCUUCUAAUCGGAGCGUCAGUAAGGCCUUCUUUGCACAUGUCCAAACCACCGUAACCGAUUUUCUCUCAUCUUUCCUUCAAUUUCGGCUACUCCUACUUUACCCCGGAUAUCCUCAUUCCUAAUCUUAUCCUUUCUCGUGUGCCCACACAUCCAACGAAGCAUCCUCAUCUCCGCUACACCCAUUUUGUGUACGUGUUGAUGUUUCACCGCCCAACAUUCUGUGCCAUACAGCAUCGCCGGCCUUAUUGCCGUCCUAUAAAAUUUUCCCUUGAGCUUCAAUGGCAUACGGCGGUCACACAACACGCCGGAUGCACUCUUCCACUUCAUCCAUCCAGCUUGUAUUCUAUGGUUGAGAUCUCCAUCUAAUUCUCCGUUCUUUUGCAAGAUAGAUCCUAGGUAACGAAAACGGUCGCUCUUUGGUAUUUCUUGAUCUCCGAUCCUCACCCCUAACUCGUUUUGGCCUCCAUUUGCACUGAACUUGCACUCCAUAUAUUCUGUCUUUGAUCGGCUUAGGCGAAGACCUUUAGAUUCCAACACUUCUCUCCAAAGGUUAAGCUUUGCAUUUACCCCUUCCUGAGUUUCAUCUAUCAACACUAUAUCGUCUGCGAAAAGCAUACACCAAGGAAUAUCAUCUUGAAUAUGUCCUGUUAACUCAUCCAUUACCAACGCAAAAAGGUAAGGGACUUAAGGAUGAGCCUUGAUGUAAUCCUACAGUUAUGGGAAAGUUUUUCGGUUUGUCCUUCAUGAGUUCUUACGGCAGUCUUUGCUCCUUCAUACAUAUCCUUUAUAGCUUGGAUAUAUGCUACUCGUACUCCUUUCUUCUCUAAAAUCCUCCAAAGAAUGUCUCUUGGGACCCUAUCAUACGCUUUUUCCAAAUCUAUAAAGACCAUGUGUAAAUCCUUUUUCUCAUCUCUAUAUCUUUCCAUCAAUCUUCGUAAGAGAUAGAUUGCCUCCAUGGUUGAGCGCCCUGGCAUGAACCCGAAUUGGUUGUCCGAAACCCGUGUCUCUUGCCUCAAUCUAUGCUCAAUGACUCUCUCCCAGAGCUUCAUUGUAUGACUCAUUAGCUUAAUACCCCUAUAGUUCAUGCAAUUUUGUACGUCGCCCUUAUUCUUGUAGAUAGGCACCAAAGUGCUCGUUCGCCACUCAUUUGGCAUCUUCUUCGUUUUCAAAAUCCUAUUGAAAAGGUCAGUGAGCCAUGUUAUACCUGUCUCUCCCAAAAGUUUCCACACUUCGAUUGGUAUAUUGUCUGGGCCUAUUGCUUUUUUAUGCUUCAUCUUCUUCAAAGCUACAACCACUUCUUCCUUCCGGAUUCGACGAUAAAAAGAGUAGUUUCUACACUCUUCUGAGUUACUCAACUCCCUUAAAGAAUCACUCAUUUCAUGUCCUUCAUUGAAAAGAUUAUGAAAAUAACCUCUCCAUCUGUCUUUAACCGCGUUCUCUGUAGCAAGAACCUUUCCAUCCUCAUCCUUGAUGCACCUCACUUGGUUUAGGUCCUUUGUCUUCUUUUCCCUUGCUCUAGAUAGUUUAUAGAUAUCCAACUCUCCUUCUUUGGUAUCUAGUCGUUUAUACAUAUCGUCGUAAGCCGCUAACUUAGCUUCUCUGACAGCUUUUUUCGCCUCUUGCUUCGCUUUUCUAUACCUUUCACCAUUUUCAUCGGUCCUCUCCUUGUAUAAGGCUUUACAACAUUCCUUCUUAGCCUUCACCUUUGUUUGUACCUCCUCAUUCCACCACCAAGAUUCCUUUUGGUGUGGGGCAAAGCCCUUGGACUCUCCUAAUACCUCUUUUGCUACUUUUCGGAUACAACUAGCCAUGGAAUCCCACAUUUGGCUAGCUUCCCCCUCUCUAUCCCACACACAUUGGGUGAUUACCUUCUCUUUGAAAAUGACUUGUUUUUCUUCUUUUAGAUUCCACCAUCUAGUCCUUGGGCACUUCCAAGUCUUGUUCUUUUGUCUUACUCUUUUGAUAUGUACAUCCAUCACCAACAAGCGAUGUUGAUUAGCCACGCUCUCUCCUGGUAUAAACUUUGCAAUCCUUACAAGUUAUACGAUCCCCUUUCCUCAUUAGAAGAAAAUCUAUUUGUGUUUUUGACGACCCACUCUUGUAGGUGAUCACAUGUUUUCUUCUCUCUUCUUAAAGAAGGUGUUGGCUAAGAAGAGAUCAUAUGCCAUUGCAAAAUCCAAGAUAGCUUCCCCAUCCUCGUUUCUCUCCCCAAAACCAUGGCCACCAUGAAAACCUCCAUAGUUGCCUGUCUCCCUGCCCACGUGUCCAUUUAAAUCUCCUCCUAUAAAUAACUUCUCCGUCUGAGCAAUUCCUUGCACCAAGUCUCCAAGAUCUUCCCAAAAUUUCUCCUUCGAACUCGUAUCCAACCCUACUUGAGGUGCGUACGCACUAAUCACAUUGAUAAGUUCUUGUCCUAUUACAAUCUUGAUUGCCAUGAUUCUAUCUCCUACCCUCUUGACAUCUACAACAUCUUGUACCAAGGUCUUGUCCACGAUGAUGCCAACACCGUUUCUCGUUCUAUUUGUGCCCGAAUACCAAAGUUUAAACCCUGAGUUUUCUAAAUCCUUUGCCUUACUACCAACCCACUUAGUUUCUUGUAGACACAUAAUAUUUAUCCUUCUCCUCACCAUAACUUCCACUACUUUCAUAGAUUUUCCCGUUAAGGUUCCUAUAUUCCACGUUCCUAAACGCAUUUUGCUCUCUUGAACUCUACCCUUCUGUCCUAACUUCUUCACCCUCCCCCGUCUAAUAGGAUCAAAGUACUUCUUUUGUGUGUCCCGGGUAAAGUUGAUAGGAGCAUAUGCUCCCAAACAACUUUGAGUGGAGUCGUUCGAAAAGAAGUUUCUAUGGCCCCCUUGCUCAUUUAACACUGCAUCCGGGUGCCGAUGGAGAUACAGCGACCCUUGCUCACUUAUCACUGUGCUCAGGCCACACAGCGCGCCACUUACGGGUGACGCCCUAGCUUUAGCGCGAUUUUGUUCUGGAUUCAUUUUCAUAAGGAUUCGACGUGAUCAUGGAGUGCCGGCUGUCGACUACCUGACGCCCUCCCCCUCCUCCUUUAUCCGGGCUUGGGACCGGCCAUGUAAGACAUAGGCGGAGUUCCUUGCACCAAGUCUCCAAGAUCUUCCCAAAAUUUCUCCUUCGAACUCGUAUCCAACCCUACUUGAGGUGCAAAACUAAGACUGAAAACGAACAAACUAAUUAAUACUAUUACCACAAGGAGAAAAGGACACAAAUUCACUCCAGAUAUCGAUAAGCCUGGUCUUGAUCUUCUGUUGCUUUCACCACGAGAAACUCUUGGCUGCCUCGUACAAAUUACAGGGUCACCAUCAAGAAGACAAAGGCUCCCCAGCACAAAAGUAGCUUCUCCAUUGUGAGGGGCCAUACCGCGGGUUUCUGUAUAUUCGUCGAUCUCUUCCUCUAAAUCAAACCAACGAAGACCAGGGUACGACUCACUUUGAACGAGAACCAUUUCACCAUUUUUUUUAAACACCAAAGGUUUGUAACGAUUACAAAGAUGAGAAAUACUUGAAUAAAGCAAGGUCAGAUUCUCUCGCUCCAUAUUCCUUCAUAAUCCAAAUACCGAAUUCGCUGUUGUUAUAGUUACGAAUACAAACACAUAGAUAGCCUCCCAAGACCUCCAGCUCAAUCCUGACAUCCAAAAUGCCGUUGACCGGGCAGUAAAACUCACCAUAUUUCUCAGUGGCAAGAUCAAGAGUUAAAAUUAUGCUCAUAUUGUUAUCACCCAUCACCCAAUUUAGAGCUCCGUUUGAAAAUUGGAUUUUCGAAACAAGUUCAAGGCCCUUGGAAGGCAUGCUUUGGAUCUUCUUCCACAAGUUGGAUUUUAGGCUGUAAACAUGCACUUCAUAAGUCAAAGUAACACAAUAGGGCCAAGAACCAUUAGAAAUGUUUUCCCAAGACCACUUAGAAACGUCUACCGAAUACGGAGUUGAGAUCUUCUCAAUUUCCACAAGUUUAUAGUCAUCAUUAGUCGAAUCAUAUCCGAAUCCAUACUGAGGACUUGAAACUGAGGGUGUGAAGGGAAUUCUCUUGAACUUUUGAAUGGAAGGAUUCCACAAAGCUAUCUCAGCAUUUUCAGUGUUUUUAAUGCAAACCACGCCAUUACAGGAUCCCAAUAUCGAUAUUUCACCCCAGCCGCGACGUUCAACCAACGGUUGCCAAAUUUCUACGGCUGUGCUGAAUGAAUCGUCGACGGAAAGAGCCAACAAAAAGAAAUCCUUGGUAUAAAUGGUACCCCAUAGGCUAAAUAAAAUGGUGCUAGGGAUGGUAUUGAUGGAGCGUUGAAGAUGCCUUUUGGUGAAGCGUUCGUCGCGGAUGUAAGCAUUCCAAGCUUUGGAAACACACAUGCAUCGGAUCAAAUCCUUGGCCGGGAGAAGUACAAGGAUUUCGAAGAGUAGCUCCGGUGGGAAGUAGUCUGACAUGCUUAGGUUGAAACUGAAAGUUUCAGUCUAGGGUUUUGGGAUUUAGAAUUAUUGAUUUAUGUUAUCGUUCCACUUAGGGUGCGUUUGUUGCACUGGACUGUCUCGGACUGGACUACCUUCAGAGACUAAAUUGGACUGGCUUAGACUAGACUAAGCUAGACUAACUUAGUCAAGCGUUUAGUGCAAUGUCGGACUAAAAAGCAGAUAUUUAACAAACUACAAUAUUGUAUUAUUUAAUACAUAUGUAAUAAUAUUUUAUUAUUAUUUCAACUUUUUUCCUUGUUUUUCCAAAAAAAUCCUGCUCUGGAAACUUCUCUUUCUCCUCUUUGGUUCCGUCUGGUCCUUAUCUCCCUCUUUCUGCUUUUCCAUCUCUCCAUUUCUCUUCGUCCCCAUAACAACUUUCUCUCCCCUUUUCAAUCCAUUUCUCUACUCCUUCCCCAACUAAUGGCAAAUGAUAUGGAUCUGGGUGGAUUUUGGUGGUUCUUUUCGCCAUCUAUAACUCUACGCUAAAAAAAACAAACAAGAUUUUUAGAUUUCGGCGGUGGGCGUAGAUGGCGGGCCGUGUCAAAUUUUGAUAUUCAAGCGGUGGGUGUGACCGCAUCGGCUGUGAGCUACUGCUGUUCCUCCAUAUAGGGCCACUGGAGAGCAAGCACUGCCGACUACCUAGCCACAGUGGCGGGGCCGCAGAAGAAAGAAGUUAGAAGCUCAGGGACUGGAUGUUAGUGCCAACAUCGAUCCAAGUCUAGGUUGUCGGUGCAAAGAGAUAGAGGAAGGGAGAGAGAGGAUGCGAAGUGCAGGAACAUACGAGAGAAGACGAAGGUCUUAGCAAUCCCAUGGUUUUGCGAGGGUCUCACUAAGAACUCCUAACGAGGCCUCUAAUCCACGCGAGUCCCCUUUAGUCCCAUUUAACUUAGUCCCAAUACAAACCAAACAUGGGACUACAAUCUAGUCCAGUCCAGUCCCAAUUAACGAGGCCAAACAAGUUCCCUCCAUGUAACCCUAAUGUGUCGGUUUGGUUUCUGAGUUAUUAUCCGAGUGAAAAUAUUAAAGAAGACUAGGGAGGAAUAUGUCUUUUUAAUUUCUAAUUGUGGUGGAAAAGUAAAACCCACUAAUUGCAAUUAUUUAUCUAGCGUUGAAGCUUCCCUUUACAUCCUGGGAGCUUGCGCUGUUACUUUUGACCAAUAUUUUACAUGGAGGUUGAGAGAAAUACUAAAAACGAAAUAAGAUCGUAUGUGAUUCAACUGAAAGAUCAUUUUUACAACGGAGUACAAAAACAAAAUUCGGGUAAACGCCUAAGCUAGGGUCACAUUAGAAGGUCGUAGUGAUUGAAAGAUGAUUCAAUGUGGUGGCAUUUUGUAUGUUUGAGGUUUCGAACUUGCAGACAAUUUCCUUUGCAUAUACAAUUAAGCUCCAAAAUUUGUUACCUUGGUGCAUAUAUUGUCACACAUGAUACAUCAAUCAUCAUGCUACACAGCCAAAUAGAUCAUUCUCUUCUUUCACAAGUUCUUGCUUCCUAAGGAACCAGUGACUUAAGCUAGAGUUUUGAUAUAAAGCCAACACAUGCACAAAUUUAGUGUACCUAACAUUAUUCAAAAAUCACAUGUCCGUCAAUAAAUGUUAAAUUUUAUUUGUUCUUCUUUCUUCUUAAUGUUAUUUGUGUUUGCCUUUUCUUGAAGAGUAGAACAGGUUCAUAAGAUAGUAAAAAAAUAUGACAAGAAAGACAAAAUUGUUGUAUUGAUGCAAUGGUCACAGAAUCUACUUUGCAUAUUUUCUUCCAGGACAUUUCAUUGGUGAAAUGACCCUUGUACUCUCUCUCUCUCUCUAAAUCACUGGAACAACAGUGUAAUUACAAUCGUAUCACAACCAAUCAAACAUAUACUUCUCUGUAAAAACUUGGACCACAAGAAAUCAACAUAUCAUGUACAAUUUGGUAUUAGAACAAAUAGCAUCACCACCAGAGGCUUGAGUCCCAGCGUGGGACUACUCAGUAGGACAAUCAGCAAGAAUUUAGAAGAGUCCCCGCGCAGGACUAUACGACAGCGUACUUUUGAAAGCCAUUUAGCCACUACCAGUUCAUCCAUUGACUUGAAGCGCCAUCUUCUAUCCGAUGAGCAGAGCACACACCGAUGGUUAGCCUCUCUUUCCUUGAGGUUUCUUGACAGUCUUCAGUUUUGUGGGAGCAAGGAAAUCAUCGUCCUCUAGGUCACUGAAAGAUAUGUCUUCUUCAUUGAUUGCGUGAAUAGCCGUUCCACUAUACCCA
This 31709-nucleotide long non-coding RNA is filed under the name Malus domestica (apple). RNAcentral's name for it is "long non-coding RNA (MDOM_LNC007323)". Lineage: Eukaryota; Viridiplantae; Streptophyta; Magnoliopsida; Rosales; Rosaceae. The record is from RNAcentral.